This is a non-coding RNA of Picea glauca (white spruce), 121 nucleotides long. Lineage: Eukaryota; Viridiplantae; Streptophyta; Pinopsida; Pinales; Pinaceae. The record is from Rfam.
ACUUGCCUACAACAUAGUGUUAAUGCAUCGGAUCCCAUUAGAACUCCGCAGUUAAGUGCGCUCGGGCUAGAGUAGUAUUGGGAUGGGUAACCGCCCAGGAAGUCCUAGUAUUUUGCAUGCC